CCUACGGGAGGCAGCAGUGAGGAAUAUUGGACAAUGGGCGCAAGCCUGAUCCAGCCAUGCCGCGUGCAGGAAGAAGCAUCUAUGGUGUGUAAACUGCUUUUGUACAGGAAGAAACACUCCCUCGUGAGGGAGCUUGACGGUACUGUAAGAAUAAGGACCGGCUAACUCCGUGCCAGCAGCCGCGGUAAUACGGAGGGUCCGAGCGUUAUCCGGAAUCAUUGGGUUUAAAGGGUCCGUAGGCGGUUUAAUAAGUCAGUGGUGAAAUCUGGUCGCUCAACGAUCAAACGGCCAUUGAUACUGUUAGACUUGAAUUAUAAGGAAGUAACUAGAAUAUGUAGUGUAGCGGUGAAAUGCUUAGAUAUUACAUGGAAUACCAAUUGCGAAGGCAGGUUACUACUUAUGGAUUGACGCUGAUGGACGAAAGCGUGGGGAGCGAACAGGAUUAGAUACCCUGGUAGUCCACGCCGUAAACGAUGGAUACUAGNUGUGAGNAUNUGAGUGNGUAGACGAAGUAGAGAAGUAGUACCACCGCGGGAGGUAACGGUUCGUCGAAGAAGUAGUUAAACGUUAACGAAAGAAGUUAGUUAGGACGGNGAGAGAGCGACGACGACGACGAGGAGGAGGAG
RNAcentral lists this ribosomal RNA (626 nucleotides) under uncultured bacterium. RNAcentral's name for it is "bacterial SSU rRNA". The stretch from base 1 to 530 matches the Rfam family "Bacterial small subunit ribosomal RNA", at positions 338 to 873 of the family's 1533-position model. The record is from RNAcentral.